RNAcentral lists this ribosomal RNA (1346 nucleotides) under uncultured bacterium. RNAcentral describes it as "partial 16S ribosomal RNA". It matches the Rfam family "Bacterial small subunit ribosomal RNA", at positions 28 to 1381 of the family's 1533-position model. The record is from RNAcentral.
GACGAACGCUUGCGGCGUGCUUAACACAUGCAAGUCGAACGGAAAGGCCCUGCUUUUGUGGGGUGCUCGAGUGGCGAACGGGUGAGUAACACGUGAGUAACCUGCCCUUGACUUUGGGAUAACUUCAGGAAACUGGGGCUAAUACCGGAUAGGAGCUCCUGCUGCAUGGUGGGGGUUGGAAAGUUUCGGCGGUUGGGGAUGGACUCGCGGCUUAUCAGCUUGUUGGUGGGGUAGUGGCUUACCAAGGCUUUGACGGGUAGCCGGCCUGAGAGGGUGACCGGCCACAUUGGGACUGAGAUACGGCCCAGACUCCUACGGGAGGCAGCAGUGGGGAAUAUUGCACAAUGGGCGGAAGCCUGAUGCAGCAACGCCGCGUGCGGGAUGACGGCCUUCGGGUUGUAAACCGCUUUCGCCUGUGACGAAGCGUGAGUGACGGUAAUGGGUAAAGAAGCACCGGCUAACUACGUGCCAGCAGCCGCGGUGAUACGUAGGGUGCGAGCGUUGUCCGGAUUUAUUGGGCGUAAAGGGCUCGUAGGUGGUUGAUCGCGUCGGAAGUGUAAUCUUGGGGCUUAACCCUGAGCGUGCUUUCGAUACGGGUUGACUUGAGGAAGGUAGGGGAGAAUGGAAUUCCUGGUGGAGCGGUGGAAUGCGCAGAUAUCAGGAGGAACACCAGUGGCGAAGGCGGUUCUCUGGGCCUUUCCUGACGCUGAGGAGCGAAAGCGUGGGGAGCGAACAGGCUUAGAUACCCUGGUAGUCCACGCUGUAAACGGUGGGUACUAGGUGUGGGGUCCAUUCCACGGGUUCCGUGCCGUAGCUAACGCUUUAAGUACCCCGCCUGGGGAGUACGGCCGCAAGGCUAAAACUCAAGGGAAUUGACGGGGCCCCGCACAAGCGGCGGAGCAUGCGGAUUAAUUCGAUGCAACGCGUAGAACCUUACCUGGGUUUGACAUGGAUCGGGAGUGCUCAGAGAUGGGUGUGCCUCUUUUGGGGUCGGUUCACAGGUGGUGCAUGGCUGUCGUCAGCUCGUGUCGUGAGAUGUUGGGUUAAGUCCCGCAACGAGCGCAACCCUUGUUCACUGUUGCCAGCACGUUAUGGUGGGGACUCAGUGGAGACCGCCGGGGUCAACUCGGAGGAAGGUGGGGAUGACGUCAAGUCACCAUGCCCCUUAUGUCCAGGGCUUCACGCAUGCUACAAUGGCUGGUACAGAGAGUGGCGAGCCUGUGAGGGUGAGCGAAUCUCGGAAAGCCGGUCUCAGUUCGGAUUGGGGUCUGCGACUCGACCUCAUGAAGUCGGAGUCGCUAGUAAUCGCAGAUCAGCAACGCUGCGGUGAAUACGUUCCCGGGGCU